Ostrinia nubilalis (European corn borer) is the source of this 421-nucleotide long non-coding RNA. RefSeq lists it as uncharacterized. The transcript is spliced from 3 exons. The record is from RefSeq and is a predicted model, not a curated record. NCBI's taxonomy places the organism in Eukaryota, Metazoa, Arthropoda, Insecta, Lepidoptera, Crambidae.
GGAAAUGAAGAUUUAAGUCCCGUGCAGAAGUUCUAUUACUUGAAGUCGUGUUUGGUCGGCGAAGCUGCCUCUUUGGUUACGACUUUGGAAUGUACGAACGAAAACUACGUGAAGGCAUGGUCUGCGAUUACAUCAAGAUAUGACAAUAAGCAGCGCUGCCAAGCAUUAGAUAUGCUAUGCCGUGAUGAAGCAGUGAGCACUACAAAGGUUGUGCCUCCGGCAAAGAGCACUAGUCAUGUGACUGUUGGCAGCGGCAGUAAUGCAAAUGGAGAAAAGGUGCGAACAGAGCUACCUUGAUUCUGUGUCCAGGGAUGAAGAAGGAAGGUAUCAUGUCGAUUUGCCAAUAAACAAAGAACUUCUACCAAAACUAGGUAAUUCUUACAAUGUUGCUUUUCGUUGUCUUAUGUCAUUGGAGAAAAAA